This 253-nucleotide ribosomal RNA is filed under the name uncultured bacterium. RNAcentral's name for it is "partial 16S ribosomal RNA". It matches the Rfam family "Bacterial small subunit ribosomal RNA", at positions 524 to 776 of the family's 1533-position model. The record is from RNAcentral.
UACGUAGGGAGCAAGCGUUAUCCGGAUUUACUGGGUGUAAAGGGCGUGUAGGCGGGCCUGCAAGUCAGAAGUGAAAUCUGGGGGCUUAACCCCCAAACUGCUUUUGAAACUGUGGGUCUUGAGUGAUGGAGAGGCAGGCGGAAUUCCCAGUGUAGCGGUGAAAUGCGUAGAUAUUGGGAGGAACACCAGUGGCGAAGGCGGCCUGCUGGACAUUAACUGACGCUGAGGCGCGACAGCGUGGGGAGCAAACAGG